GAUGAGCGCUGGCGGCGUGCCUAAUACAUGCAAGUCGAGCGAACGGACGAGAAGCUUGCUUCUCUGAUGUUAGCGGCGGACGGGUGAGUAACACGUGGAUAACCUACCUAUAAGACUGGGAUAACUUCGGGAAACCGGAGCUAAUACCGGAUAAUAUUUUGAACCGCAUGGUUCAAAAGUGAAAGACGGUCUUGCUGUCACUUAUAGAUGGAUCCGCGCUGCAUUAGAUAGUUGUUAAGGUAACGGCUUACCAAGGCAACGAUGCAUAGACGACCUGAGAGGGGGAUCGGCAACACUGGAACUGAGACACGGUCCAGACUCCUACGGGAGGCAGCAGUAGGGAAUCUUCCGCAAUGGGCGAAAGCCUGACGGAGCAACGCCGCGUGAGUGAUGAAGGUCUUCGGAUCGUAAAACUCUGUUAUUAGGGAAGAACAUAUGUGUAAGUAACUGUGCACAUCUUGACGGUACCUAAUCAGAAAGCCACGGCUAACUACGUG
RNAcentral lists this ribosomal RNA (497 nucleotides) under uncultured bacterium. RNAcentral's name for it is "partial 16S ribosomal RNA". It matches the Rfam family "Bacterial small subunit ribosomal RNA", at positions 28 to 507 of the family's 1533-position model. The record is from RNAcentral.